This is a small nuclear RNA of Psammomys obesus (fat sand rat), 107 nucleotides long. NCBI's taxonomy places the organism in Eukaryota, Metazoa, Chordata, Mammalia, Rodentia, Muridae. The record is from RefSeq and is a predicted model, not a curated record.
GUGGUCACUUCCGCAGCACAUAUACUAAAGUUGGAACAAUACAGGUAAGAUUAGCACGACCCCUGUGCAAAGAUGACACGCAAAUUCAUGAAGCGUUCCGCGUUUUU